GCAGGCGGUUUCGCGUAGCGAAAGCGAAUGCUUUGGGGUGGGGUGACUGCGUACCUUUUGUAUAAUGGGUCAGCGACUUAUAUUCUGUAGCAAGGUUAACCGAAUAGGGGAGCCGGAGGGAAACCGAGUCUUAAUUGGGCGUUAAGUUGCAGGGUAUAGACCCGAAACCCGGUGAUCUAGCCAUGGGCAGGUUGAAGGUUGGGUAACACUAACUGGAGGACCGAACCGACUAAUGUUGAAAAAUUAGCGGAUGACCUGUGGCUGGGGGUGAAAGGCCAAUCAAACCGGGAGAUAGCUGGUUCUCCCCGAAAGCUAUUUAGGUAGCGCCUCGUGAAUUCAUCUCCGGGGGUAGAGCACUGUUUCGGCUAGGGGGCCAUCCCGGCUUACCAACCCGAUGCAAACUGCGAAUACCGGAGAAUGUUAUCACGGGAGACACACGGCGGGUGCUAACGUCCGUCGUGAAGAGGGAAACAACCCAGACCGCCAGCUAAGGUCCCAAAGUCAUGGUUAAGUGGGAAACGAUGUGGGAAGGCCCAGACAGCCAGGAUGUUGGCUUAGAAGCAGCCAUCAUUUAAAGAAAGCGUAAUAGCUCACUGGUCGAGUCGGCCUGCGCGGAAGAUGUAACGGGGCUAAACCAUGCACCGAAGCUGCGGCAGCGACACUGUGUGUUGUUGGGUAGGGGAGCGUUCUGUAAGCCUGCGAAGGUGGCCUGUGAGGGUUGCUGGAGGUAUCAGAAGUGCGAAUGCUGACAUAAGUAACGAUAAAGCGGGUGAAAAGCCCGCUCGCCGGAAGACCAAGGGUUCCUGUCCAACGUUAAUCGGGGCAGGGUGAGUCGACCCCUAAGGCGAGGCCGAAAGGCGUAGUCGAUGGGAAACGGGUUAAUAUUCCCGUACUUGGUGUUACUGCGAAGGGGGGACGGAGAAGGCUAUGUUGGCCGGGCGACGGUUGUCCCGGUUUAAGCGUGUAGGUGUGUGUUCCAGGUAAAUCCGGUUCACUUUAACACUGAGGCGUGACGACGAGGCACUACGGUGCUGAAGCAACAAAUGCCCUGCUUCCAGGAAAAGCCUCUAAGCAUCAGGUAACAUCAAAUCGUACCCCAAACCGACACAGGUGGUCAGGUAGAGAAUACCAAGGCGCUUGAGAGAACUCGGGUGAAGGAACUAGGCAAAAUGGUGCCGUAACUUCGGGAGAAGGCACGCUGACACGUAGGUGAAGUGAUUUACUCAUGGAGCUGAAGUCAGUCGAAGAUACCAGCUGGCUGCAACUGUUUAUUAAAAACACAGCACUGUGCAAACACGAAAGUGGACGUAUACGGUGUGACGCCUGCCCGGUGCCGGAAGGUUAAUUGAUGGGGUCAGCGCAAGCGAAGCUCCUGAUCGAAGCCCCGGUAAACGGCGGCCGUAACUAUAACGGUCCUAAGGUAGCGAAAUUCCUUGUCGGGUAAGUUCCGACCUGCACGAAUGGCGUAAUGAUGGCCAGGCUGUCUCCACCCGAGACUCAGUGAAAUUGAACUCGCUGUGAAGAUGCAGUGUACCCGCGGCAAGACGGAAAGACCCCGUGAACCUUUACUAUAGCUUGACACUGAACAUUGAGCCUUGAUGUGUAGGAUAGGUGGGAGGCUUUGAAGUGUGGACGCCAGUCUGCAUGGAGCCGACCUUGAAAUACCACCCUUUAAUGUUUGAUGUUCUAACGUGGACCCGUUACCCGGGUUGCGGACAGUGUCUGGUGGGUAGUUUGACUGGGGCGGUCUCCUCCUAAAGAGUAACGGAGGAGCACGAAGGUUGGCUAAUCCUGGUCGGACAUCAGGAGGUUAGUGCAAUGGCAUAAGCCAGCUUGACUGCGAGCGUGACGGCGCGAGCAGGUGCGAAAGCAGGUCAUAGUGAUCCGGUGGUUCUGAAUGGAAGGGCCAUCGCUCAACGGAUAAAAGGUACUCCGGGGAUAACAGGCUGAUACCGCCCAAGAGUUCAUAUCGACGGCGGUGUUUGGCACCUCGAUGUCGGCUCAUCACAUCCUGGGGCUGAAGUAGGUCCCAAGGGUAUGGCUGUUCGCCAUUUAAAGUGGUACGCGAGCUGGGUUUAGAACGUCGUGAGACAGUUCGGUCCCUAUCUGCCGUGGGCGCUGGAGAACUGAGGGGGGCUGCUCCUAGUACGAGAGGACCGGAGUGGACGCAUCACUGGUGUUCGGGUUGUCAUGCCAAUGGCACUGCCCGGUAGCUAAAUGCGGAAGAGAUAAGUGCUGAAAGCAUCUAAGCACGAAACUUGCCCCGAG
Molecule: ribosomal RNA, 2268 nt
Filed under: Salmonella enterica subsp. enterica serovar Enteritidis
Lineage: Bacteria; Pseudomonadati; Pseudomonadota; Gammaproteobacteria; Enterobacterales; Enterobacteriaceae
Description: partial 23S ribosomal RNA
Rfam family: Bacterial large subunit ribosomal RNA
Source: RNAcentral